RNAcentral lists this microRNA (18 nucleotides) under Homo sapiens (human). RNAcentral's name for it is "hsa-miR-7515". The record is from miRBase by way of RNAcentral. Lineage: Eukaryota; Metazoa; Chordata; Mammalia; Primates; Hominidae.
AGAAGGGAAGAUGGUGAC